Molecule: non-coding RNA, 51 nt
Filed under: unclassified sequences
Description: DUF3800-VI RNA
Rfam family: DUF3800-VI RNA
About the family: Actinobacteria, Planctomycetes, Proteobacteria, Spirochaetes. Nearby to DUF3800
Source: RNAcentral
CGGUCGGGAGAGCUGCAUGAGCGGUUCACUGGACAGAGGGCCACUCGGCUG